Molecule: ribosomal RNA, 433 nt
Filed under: uncultured bacterium
Lineage: Bacteria
Description: partial 16S ribosomal RNA
Rfam family: Bacterial small subunit ribosomal RNA
Source: RNAcentral
AACGAACGCUGGCGGCAUGCCUAACACAUGCAAGUCGAACGAGACCUUCGGGUCUAGUGGCGCACGGGUGCGUAACGCGUGGGAACCUGCCCUUAGGUUCGGAAUAACUCCCCGAAAGGGGUGCUAAUACCGGAUAAUGUCUUCGGACCAAAGAUUUAUCGCCUUUGGAUGGGCCCGCGUUGGAUUAGCUAGUUGGUAGGGUAAAAGCCUACCAAGGCGACGAUCCAUAGCUGGUCUGAGAGGAUGAUCAGCCACACUGGGACUGAGACACGGCCCAGACUCCUACGGGAGGCAGCAGUGGGGAAUAUUGGACAAGGGGCGAAAGCCUGAUCAAGCAAUGCCGCGUGAGUGAUGAAGGCCGUAGGGUUGUAAAGCUCUUUUACCCGGGAUGAUAAUGACAGUACCGGGAGAAUAAGCUCCGGCUAACUCCGUG